This 1239-nucleotide ribosomal RNA is filed under the name Fuelleborniella sp. FuspCA. Its description in RNAcentral is "16S ribosomal RNA". The stretch from base 1006 to 1166 matches the Rfam family "Archaeal large subunit ribosomal RNA", at positions 2544 to 2703 of the family's 2987-position model. Lineage: Eukaryota; Metazoa; Arthropoda; Insecta; Psocodea; Caeciliusidae. The record is from RNAcentral.
UACUCAGGUUUUCUUGAUUAAAGAUUAAUUAUUUAGUAUAGAUAUAAUUAUUUUUUAAAUAAAAUAUUAAAGAUUUAAUUAUAAAUAAUGGAAUAAUUUAGAAUAAUUUUAGUUUAUUAGUAUAAAGAUAGAAUUUAAUAACUUAAAAAGGAAGGUAAUUUAAUUAGUGGUACCUUUUGUAUCAGGGUUUAAAUAAAAUGAAAUUGAAAGUUAAUUUCUCGAAAAUUUUUGAUUUAAUUUUAUUUAUAAAUAUGUAGAAAAAAAUUAUUUAAAAUAAUAUUGGUAGUUAAAAGUUAAUCGUGAAAAUUGAUAUCUAGUUUUUGGAUAAAUUAAUUUAAUUAAAAUGUUAAGUUUAAUAUAAUAAUUUUAUUUUAAUUAACUUAAAGGUUAAAUUAUAAAAAGUUUAGUUUUUAUAAUUUAUUAUAUAUUAUGAAUUAAAUUUUUAUUUAGAAUUAUUAUUGUUUAAAAUUAUUAAUUUUUUAUAAAUAAGAAAUUUUUUAUUUUAAUUUAUUUAAAUUAUUAAGUGUUUAUUCAAAUAAUUAUUUUAAUUAAUAAGAUAAAGAGAUAAUUUUAUAAUUAGUAAAUUUUAAAGAUUAAAUUUAGUAACUUGGCAAAUUUAAUUUACGCCUGUUUAUCAAAAACAUGUCUUGAAUAUAUAAUUUUAAGUCUAAUCUGCUCACUGAUUUUAUUUAAGGGCCGCAGUAUACUGACUGUGCAAAGGUAGCAUAAUCAAUAGUUUUUUAAUUGGAAACUGGAAUGAAUGAUUGGACGAUAAAUUGACUUUCUUAAUUUUAAUAGUUGAAUUUAAAUUUUAAGUUAAAAUACUUAAAUAAUAUUAAAAGACGAGAAGACCCUAUAGAUUUUUAUUAAUUUAAAAGAUUUUUAUCUUAAAUAAUUAAUUUAAUUGGGGUGAUUUUGUAAUAUAAAAAAUUUAAUUGUAAUAAACCAUAGAUAAAUGAAUUUUUUGAUCUAAAAUUUUUAAAUUAUAGAUUAAAUUACCUUAGGGAUAACAGCGUUAUAUUAUUUAAGAGUUCAUAUCUAUAAUAAUAAUUGCGACCUCGAUGUUGAAUUAAGAAAUAUUAUUAAGGAGAAGAAGCUUUAAUAAUUAGUCUGUUCGACUAUUAAAUUCUUACAUGAUUUGAGUUCAGACCGGCGUGAGCCAGGUCAGUUUCUAUCUUUAAUUUUGUUUUGUAAGUGGGUACGAAAGGACAAUUUAUAAAUAAAAUUUAUUAUAAGGUG